RNAcentral lists this transfer RNA (66 nucleotides) under Calliopsida cinnabarina. Its description in RNAcentral is "tRNA-Arg". Lineage: Eukaryota; Metazoa; Arthropoda; Insecta; Hemiptera; Cicadidae. The record is from RNAcentral.
GGAUAUUGAAGUAAUAAAUUACAUUUAGUUUCGACCUAAAGUUAGAGAUUUUUUUUUCCUUAUCCA